Papilio polytes (common Mormon) is the source of this 227-nucleotide long non-coding RNA. RefSeq lists it as uncharacterized. NCBI's taxonomy places the organism in Eukaryota, Metazoa, Arthropoda, Insecta, Lepidoptera, Papilionidae. The transcript is spliced from 3 exons. The record is from RefSeq and is a predicted model, not a curated record.
CCCGCAGCGCCGCCGUGACACCUCCAACUCUGAGUCUGACAGCGGCGAGGAUGUAGAGGUGCGUGAGGUGCCGGGGCGCGCGCUCCCUGCAGAGGGCGCCUACGAUCCCAAGCACUUUCAGGACCUAAAAGUGCCUCCAGACAUGGAGAACUUGUUCCAGUACAUAAUGAAGUACACUCCGCAGAAGAUCGAGCUGGAAGGGCGGCUGCGCGCCUUCGUGCCGGAGU